This 446-nucleotide ribosomal RNA is filed under the name uncultured bacterium. RNAcentral describes it as "bacterial SSU rRNA". It matches the Rfam family "Bacterial small subunit ribosomal RNA", at positions 329 to 792 of the family's 1533-position model. The record is from RNAcentral.
UUCCAGACUCCUACGGGAGGCAGCAGUGGGGAAUAUUGCACAAUGGGGGAAACCCUGAUGCAGCGACGCCGCGUGAGCGAUGAAGUAUUUCGGUAUGUAAAGCUCUAUCAGCAGGGAAGAAAAUGACGGUACCUGACUAAGAAGCCCCGGCUAACUACGUGCCAGCAGCCGCGGUAAUACGUAGGGGGCAAGCGUUAUCCGGAUUUACUGGGUGUAAAGGGGGCGCAGACGGCGAUGCAAGCCAGGAGUGAAAGCCCGGGGCCCAACCCCGGGACUGCUCUUGGAACUGCGUGGCUGGAGUGCAGGAGGGGCAGGCGGAAUUCCUGGUGUAGCGGUGAAAUGCGUAGAUAUCAGGAGGAACACCGGUGGCGAAGGCGGCCUGCUGGACUGCAACUGACGUUGAGGCCCGAAAGCGUGGGGAGCAAACAGGAUUAGAUACCCUUGUA